RNAcentral lists this transfer RNA (69 nucleotides) under Heterocephalus glaber (naked mole-rat). It matches the Rfam family "tRNA". Rfam says of the family: Transfer RNA (tRNA) molecules are approximately 80 nucleotides in length. Their secondary structure includes four short double-helical elements and three loops (D, anti-codon, and T loops). Further hydrogen bonds mediate the characteristic L-shaped molecular structure. tRNAs have two regions of fundamental functional importance: the anti-codon, which is responsible for specific mRNA codon recognition, and the 3' end, to which the tRNAs corresponding amino acid is attached (by aminoacyl-tRNA synthetases). tRNAs cope with the degeneracy of the genetic code in two manners: having more than one tRNA (with a specific anti-codon) for a particular amino acid; and 'wobble' base-pairing, i.e. permitting non-standard base-pairing at the 3rd anti-codon position. The record is from Rfam by way of RNAcentral. Lineage: Eukaryota; Metazoa; Chordata; Mammalia; Rodentia; Bathyergidae.
GCCUAACUCAGUCAGUAGAGUAUGGGACUCUUAAUCCCAUUGUUGUGGGUUCAUGAACCACAUUGGGCA